Molecule: ribosomal RNA, 440 nt
Filed under: uncultured bacterium
Lineage: Bacteria
Description: partial 16S ribosomal RNA
Rfam family: Bacterial small subunit ribosomal RNA
Source: RNAcentral
CCUACGGGAGGCAGCAGUGGGGGAUAUUGCACAAUAGGGGAAACCCUGCUGCAGCGACGCCGCGUGAGUGAAGAAGUAUUUCGGUAUUUAACGCUCUAUCAGCAGGGAAGAAAAUGACAGUACCUGACCAAGAAGCCCCGGCUAACUACGUGCCAGCAGCCGCGGUAAUACGUAGGGGGCAAGCGGUAUCCGGAUUUACUGGGUGUAAAGGGAGCGUAGACGGUUCUGUAAGUCUGGAUUGAAAGCCCGGGGCGCAACCCCGGGACUGCUUUGGAAACUGUGUCACUGGAGUACAGGAGGGGCAGGCGGAAUUCCUGGUGUAGCGGUGAAAUGCGUAGAUAUCAGGAGGAACACCGGCGGCGAAGGCGGCCUGCUGGACUGAAACUGACGUUGAGGCUCGAAAGCGUGGGGAGCAAACAGGAUUAGAUACCCCAGUAGUC